CUUCAGCUCAUUUGUAAAUUUUUAUUACAUUUUUUAUUCAUAACAGCAAGAAUCAAAUAUAGCAAUGCAGGCCCCAUGAAAAUAUGUGUCGGGAACUUUUCUCUUAACUACAUCCAUCCAUCAAAGUUGGCAUAGUGCACCACAAGUUAAAUUAACUCUCUUCAUGACUUGAAUUAUUGCAUGAUGUUUUAGUUAAUAAAACCACAGCAAACACAUUCCUGUCAGCUUCAGAAGGUACCAUUCCCCCACCUCUUCAUCAUUUCUGAUUUCUUCUCAUAUUUCAUUCGGAUGAGAUUGUGUAUUUUAUGGCUUUAGACUGUUGCAAUCAAUGGUUUUCUCUACACACUCUUUCCAGAGGAGGUGGCAAACAUUGCAAAAUACGCGACACAUCCUUUCAGGGGGGGCUGGAACAGUAAAAACAAGCAGAAACAAACUGCAGCAGAAGACAGAAUACAUCAUAUUAGCACUACAAGCAGAGAAAACAAACAACAAAUGAAAAAAAGUUCAGUUUACAUUAUAUCAUAAAUGUAAGCAUGCGUGCUUGUAGGAGAUGAGAGAUGACAAAGAUGAUCAGGUCAAAAUUUCAAACUGAGGACUUAAUGACCAAAGUACCAAGCAAUAUUCCAAUCUGUGAUUAUUCUUAAAUUCUGCCUGAUGUUCAACUACAUUCCUGUUUGGUCAGUUUCAUCUACUAGAAGCACAGCUUACAGAAACAUAAAGAACAUACUUAUAGCUGUGGUGUUUGUGUUGCAUGUAUUUUAACUCUCCAAGUGGUGACACUUUAGUGAGUAUACUCUCAGGAAUUUUUUUUCUUUUAAAUAAACCACUAUUCUAUUUUUGUGUUUUUUAAUAUAUAUUUUAUUCCAUUACAUUGAUAGAAUAUUGUAUACUGUAAAUACAUCUUUCUUUGUAAAUGUUUUCUUAUUCAAUAUUACUGUGUUGUGAUUUUUUUUUUAAUGGUAUAUGUAUUUCCUUUAACAUGCACUCCUCUCUGAGUAAAGUAAAGAGACAGGACGUGUUGUGAUUGGUUGGGCCUGGGAGGGCGUGGCCAUGACACACAGACCUGUCAGUACAGGCAGGUUAGGGGACCAGACAAACCCAGUCAGGCCCUUACGCUGGAGGGUAUAGUGGACGCCUCCUCCGGAAGGUUACCUGGCAAACUACAAGCUGCUGACAAAAAAGAAGAGCAACACUUGGCCUUUUCUGAAAGGGGUAGGAGAGUGAGAACUCAGUGCCCUUUUGAUGCAAGCAAUUUUGUUCAGCCUUUCAUAAGAUUUUUUUGUUAUCCUAGCAAAAUUCCUUGUCGUUAUAGACAUUAUGUUUUUUUUAUUCAAAAUAAGAUCUCAAUAUACACGAUUCUCUCUUUUUUGACUAUGUACAGAAGUGCAAAAAAGUCAACCUUUGUCACCUUUUAUCGCCUCGAGAUUCCCCACCCCACCCUUGUUGUUUGCAGUUGGUUGAGUAAGACGUGAGCGUGCAGACUCAGCUCCUUACUCACCACGUUCACCUGACCCCACCAGCAACGCCCCGAAAAGUGAUCAAAUAUGCAGCUUGUUUUCCAACAUGGCCCAAUUUCCAGGGAGAGUAAAAAUAUUAAAACAAUAGUUACUAUUUGAAAUGGAUACAGUAGAAAAUAACGUCUUUACUCUAAACAUCUAAGAACUAGAUUUUUAUAAUAGUCUUUUUUUUCUUAUAUGACUAGUUACAAACCUUACAAUCAUUAAAAUAUUACUCGGUUAGUGGCGUUGGUUGCCACAGUGACAACUCAGCCUCUCUGUUCUAUUAUUUCAUCACUGUUAGAUACUCAUAUAAAACAUCUUUGUUCAAAGAACACAAAAAAGACUAGAGAAAUGAACAAUAUGCAUACAGUUCAACAAUAUGCAUAACGUAGAAAAUAUUGAGUUUACAAUCAUAAUCAUACUAAAAUUAACAUUACAUGGAAUUUCAGGAAACUGUGCAUGAGGAACACACAAACACACACUGUACCUUAUAUUCAUUAUAAGAAAGAUAAAUAUAAUAAGCAAAACUAAAAAUCUGAACUAAUAUCAAAAUAUCAUCCAAACAAAACAAAACAAAACACUCCUCGUCUAAGGAAGAAGAAGAAAAAACUACAAGAAAGUUAAGAAAACACUGACGAAAAAAGUGACAAUUAUGUAGUGCUGUGUGUGUGUUAAUAUGGCGUGGAUUAGGCAACUGGAUGGUUCAGAAUGGCAUGUUGCAUUGUGCUGACCCGAUGGUACAUUCUAAGGCUUUGGAUGAGUAAUACAAUCGUUUAUAUUCUUGCCACUUUCCCUGUAUUAUCCACCAAUUUAAAUAUGCCUGAAGAACACCCAAACAAACACCCAAAAAACAAAGAGUUCUAGAGAUCUACUCUAAAGACCUGAUUCUUCUUUGGACCGGUAAAGUUUUCAAAUUUAGCCCCACUAGUCUACCCCCAUAAUACCUAAUAACAGUGACACAAAAAGACUUUGGUGGACUAUCUGAAAAAACAGGUCUCAGGUUUUAAAAACAAAUAUUCUUAAAUAUGUCAAGACUGUAUAUACUCUACAUUGACUCUACUUUGACAACCUGCCUUUAAAAUAUACUUAACAAAUACAAAUGAAAAACAAAUCAGGUCAUACAGGUCACAUAUCCAUCACUAGUUGCACUGUAAGGUUUUGACUUCUGUCUCACAGCAGUUUGGACUCAAUCGCUCUGUGGCUUCAAAGCUAUUCAUCACACAUCUCACACAGGCCAAAACCCCACAUGUACUACUCAUCUGACUUCUAGAGUCAGCAGAGAUCUGCGUCAGUACAGAUCCAGUCAUUUCAUGUCUAAACGACUGACAUCAACAACAAAGUCAAAGAAAAAAAAUAUUUAAAAGCUAUUUCAUUCAGUAGGAGAUCUGAGUAAAGCAGACCAUCUGGGAGAUCUAAUUAGCAGUGGUGCUAUUGGGAAUCACAGGUAAUGACGGGUCACGACGUUGGACACUACAUGCUGUCCGAGAGAGCAAACAGACGUAUUAAAGGGAAUUGUUGAAUCGAACACUUUGUAACACUGCUUAAAUACCAUUCAUGUGUUUUGAGAUGUAUGGCACUUUACAGGGACGCCUGCAAGGUUAAAGACGUGUGCUUAAGAGAUAUAAAGGUAGGCUACAAAGGUUUGAAAGACACCUCACAGACAUUCAGUUGCCAUUUUGCCUCUGAGUGCACCCAUGUAAAUUUCCUUAUCACUGGCUGAAGAAAAUAAAACCAUAAACAAAAUCGUUGUGCAUGCAUAUGUGAUUCAGUCAGAUUAUUCCUCUCUUUUACCUCAACUGAAAUACAAGGUGCACCUUUGUGUAAACAAAUAAACACAUUUAGGUCGAUGACCAACAACCGAUGAAGAAACAAACAACAUAAAUCAUGAUUCUUGGUCAAUGGACAUACCAGUUGAGUGGACUCCUCCUCCUCCGACCGCUCCACACGUUUACCUUAAUGUUGACAUUCAAAGUGUGUCUGGUGAAUAAAGGUUAGUUGCCUCUACAGAACGAAAGGCAGUCUUUGAUGCAAUGAUGUUCUUUUUCUGUUGUCGUGUAGUAGUGUGCAUGAAGUACACAUGAAAACACUUCUAACAAACUGUGCCUCCUAUGUUAACAUGCAGAUUUAUUCCAAACCAGUUUAGAUUUGGUUUUUCCAUUUCGCUCUUGAUGUUACGGGCAUGAAGGGUGACCGUUAAUCGUGAACUCGACACCAGCACGCUUCAGUUCCAUCUGAGGAAAAAAGUCAACAAAAUAGAGGAAAUUAG
Amphiprion ocellaris (clown anemonefish) is the source of this 3765-nucleotide long non-coding RNA. The record is from Ensembl. NCBI's taxonomy places the organism in Eukaryota, Metazoa, Chordata, Actinopteri, Pomacentridae.